Molecule: ribosomal RNA, 497 nt
Filed under: uncultured bacterium
Lineage: Bacteria
Description: partial 16S ribosomal RNA
Rfam family: Bacterial small subunit ribosomal RNA
Source: RNAcentral
GAUGAACGCUAGCGGCAGGCCUAAUACAUGCAAGUCGAGGGGCAGCGGGGUAGCAAUACUGCCGGCGACCGGCGCACGGGUGCGUAACACGUAUGCAACCUACCUUAAACUGGGAGAUAGCCCGGGGAAACUCGGAUUAAUACCCCAUAAUAAAUUUGGUUCACAUGAAUUGAUUGUUAAAGAUUUAUCGGUUUAAGAUGGGCAUGCGUUCGAUUAGCUAGUUGGUAAGGUAACGGCUUACCAAGGCUACGAUCGAUAGGGGGUCUGAGAGGAUGAUCCCCCACACUGGUAAUGAGAUACGGACCAGACUCCUACGGGAGGCAGCAGUAGGGAAUAUUGGUCAAUGGAGGCAACUCUGAACCAGCCAUGCCGCGGGUAGGAAGAAGGCGUUCUGCGUUGUAAACUACUUUUGAUUGGGAACAAAUGACUCUUGCGAGAGUAGCUGAGUGUACCAAUAGAAUAAGCCACGGCUAACUACGUGCCAGCAGCCGCCGUAA